Molecule: ribosomal RNA, 873 nt
Filed under: uncultured Rickettsiales bacterium
Lineage: Bacteria; Pseudomonadati; Pseudomonadota; Alphaproteobacteria; Rickettsiales
Description: bacterial SSU rRNA
Rfam family: Bacterial small subunit ribosomal RNA
Source: RNAcentral
UGAGUGGCAGACGGGUGAGUAACAUGUGGGAAUCUGCCUUGUGGUUCAGGACAACAUUGGGAAACCGAUGCUAAUACUGGAUAAGCCCUUACGGGGAAAGUUUUAAUGCCAUAAGAUGAGCCCGCAUUUGAUUAGUUAGUUGGUGAGGUAAUGGCUCACCAAGACAAUGAUCAAUAGCUGAUCUGAGAGGAUGAUCAGCCACACUGGGACUGAGACACGGCCCAGACUCCUACGGGAGGCAGCAGUGGGGAAUCUUGCACAAUGGAGGAAACUCUGAUGCAGCGAUGCCGCGUGAGUGAAGAAGGCCUUUGGGUUGUAAAGCUCUUUUGUAGGGGAAGAUAAUGACUGUACCCUAAGAAUAAGGUCCGGCUAACUUCGUGCCAGCAGCCGCGGUAAUACGAAGGGACCUAGCGUAGUUCGGAAUUACUGGGCGUAAAGCGCGCGUAGGCCGUUGAGUUAGUUAAUUGUGAAAUCCCAAAGCUUAACUUUGGAACUGCAAUUAAAACUGCUCGACUAGAGUUUGAUAGAGGAAAGCGGAAUACAUAGUGUAGAGGUGAAAUUCGUAGAUAUUAUGUAGAACACCAGUUGCGAAGGCGGCUUUCUGGAUCAACACUGACGCUGAGGCGCGAAAGUAUGGGUAGCAAAGAGGAUUAGAUACCCUCGUAGUCCAUACCAUAAACGAUGAUUGCUAGAUGUUGGAAAUUUAUUUUCAGUAUCGCAGCUAACGCAUUAAGCAAUCCGCCUGGGGGAGUACGACCGCAAGGUUAAAACUCAAAUGAAUUGACGGGGACCCGCACAAGCGGUGGAGCAUGUGGUUUAAUUCGAAGAUACGCGCAGAACCUUACCAACCCUUGACAUGUCUGUCGCGAGUUU